UUUCAACACACAGAAUUGAAAAAUAGUGAGGCUCAUAACCUCACAGUCCCAUGCCAGGGAACCCAAGUCCAGCAGUGUGUUUUCUGAAGGUUCUCAAAGCACAGACUAAUUCCCAUUUUCCAGGAGAACCCCACACUUCAUAUGGUUUCAAGCCAGACAAUGGGGAUCCGCGCAGAGAGAACAUGCACGCACACCAACAGGAAGGACGCGGGCAGGCUUUGGGGGUGACGAGGGACAGCUUCACCCUGAGGUCUCAGGCAAGGGGUGAGGAAGGAGACUCUUGUAAACUCCUCUGUCUCUGCUCUCAGGCUUGUUCACAAAACCUGCCAUCUCCGCGCACCCAAGCUCCCUGGUGCACGCGGGAACCAGGGUGAGUCUGCGCUGUCACUCAGAACUGGCCUUUGAUGAAUUUAUCUUAUACAAAGAGGGGCGCAUACAGUAUUCCCAGCAGCUUGACCAGGGGAUGGAGGCUGGGAUCCAUUACGUCGAGGCUGUCUUUUCCAUGGGUCCUGUAACGCCUGCCCAUGCAGGAGCCUACAGGUGCUGUGGUUGUUUCAGUCACUCUAGCUAUGAGUGGUCGGCUCCCAGUGACCCCCUGGACAUUGUGAUCACAGGAAAAUACAAAAAGCCUUCUCUCUCCACUCAGGUGGACCCCAUGAUAAGGCUGGGAGAGAAGUUGACCUUCUUCUGCAGCUCUGAAAUCUCAUUUGACUGGUACCAUCUGUUGAGAGACGGGGUUGCUCAUGGACAGUGGCUCAGUGGAGGGCAGAGACACAGUGGAGCGUUCCAGGCCAACUUUUCUGUGGGCCCCGCAACGCCAGUCCCUGGCGGGACCUAUAGAUGCUAUGGUUCUUUCAAUGACUCUCCCUAUGAGUGGUCAGCCCCCAGUGACCCACUACACCUUUACGUCACAGGAAACACUAAGAGUACUCCUCUGUCACUCAUGGAAUCCACCCAUGAGUCUGGUAAGCAAAUAACUCUUAUCCUAGUGUCUGAGUCCCUGGGGAGAUGGAAGGCUCCUGUGUGAGUGAAAGCUGUGCCACCUCCCAGCUCCAUGACACUGGGCUAGGCAGCCCCUCCCAGGUCCCCACAUUCCCCAUCCACAUCUGAGACUGUGGUCAGUGCGGGGAUCUGUAAGGCCUUUCAGCCUCAGAUGCUCUGGAACUGAGGCCUCAUCCACAGGGGAGGAAGAGGUCAGAGUCACCUGACCCUUGCUGAAAAGCAAUGCUUCUCAUUCCUCCAGGGAGGUCUGUGAACAUGAAAACGCCGGAAGAUGAGAAGGAUUUAAAAGACCAUAUUAGAUAUUCAUUGUCUAUCUUUUUUUUUGUUGUUUUUUUGAGACAGAGUCUCACUCUGUCACCCAGGCUGGAGUGCGGUGGCACAAUCUCAGCUCACUGCGACGUCUGCCUCCUGAGUUCAAGCAAUUUUCCUGCCUCAGCCUCUUGAGUAGCUGGGAUUACAGGUGCACGCCACCACACCCAGCUAAUUUUUGUAUUUUUAAUAGAGUCGGGGUUUUGCCAUGUUGACCAGGCUGGUCUCAAACUCCUGACCUCAAGUGAUCCGUCCGCCUCGGCCUCCCAAAGUGCUGGGAUUACAGGCAUGAGCCACUGCGCCCGGCCUCCGUUGAGGUUUUUGAUGGAGAAACCCUGCUCUUUCCCUUCACUGACCAAUCACCCCAACCCCUCUCCUACCUCCACCUCACCUCUGGGGAGGCCACUGACCUGCAGGAGAUGGUCCAUGAGAGAGGCAGAAGGAUGGGGGCCAUCGAUGGGAGCGGUCCUGGGGCAGUCAAGAUUGCCCUGGGGUUGCUGAUGGGUGGUUCUCUGAGUUUAGUGGGGGAGGCUGGAUCACGCUGCAGCCUCAGGCACGCCCUUGCCUUGUUUUGGUAUUGCCACCUCUGAUGUGAAGAUCUGGAAGACUUUCUUUUUCACCCCACAGACACCACCAUGGCAAACACAGAGCCCAUGGAAGGCCAACGGACGGAUGAAGAGGUGAGUUCUCCCAGCCGAAACCAUCACCACAGCUUCAUCCCCUCACAUUCCCAGUGCCCCCACCUUCAGUUACUAAAUAUGCUCCUCUUUUCACCUUCAUCCUCUCAGGAACCUGCCGCAGAAGAGACACAGAAGAUCAUAUAUGCCCAGUUAAACCACCAGGCCCUCUCACAGACAGGAUUCACUCCUGCCUCCCCGUGUCCCCACUACAUCUCGGAGGAUCCCAGUAUCUACGUCACCGUCCACCAAGCCCAGGCUGAGGCCAGAGCUGCCCCCAGUCUUUGGCACAAAGGGCAUUAAUACGCAAGGACCUGGAUCUAUUCCUAGGAGGAUUUUUUUUUCCAUGGACAUUCUUCCUCCUUCUGGUACCGUCUUGACACCUCCAAGCUGGCAACAGUAGUGUCUGAAUGCUUGUGGGGUUAUCUUAAAAUUCCAGCGCUGCUGAACAGACAACUAGCCAUUCUACAGUUCUAUUUUGAGCAUCCAGCCAUUUAAGGUGAUUUGACUAUACCCACAUACUCAUCCUGGAUAUCUCAUUAAUAUCAUCUGAAUUAUUCUGAAACUCUACAGACAUGCUUCUAGAAAGCCGAUGUAUAUGCUCAGUCAGUUUAAUCUCUAAAUUACUCAAUAAGGUUUUUUAAAAUUUUUAAAAAAAGUUUUGGGGUACAUGUGCAGGAUGUGCAGGUUUGUUACAUAGGUAAACGUGUGCCAUGGUGGUUUGCUGCAUCUAUCAACCUCUCACCUAGGUAUUAAGUCCAGCAGGCAUUAGCUGUCUUCCCUAAUGCUCUCCGUACCCCCUGCCCUCCUCUGACAGGCCCCAGUGAGCGUGUUCCCCUCCCUAUGUCCAUGUAUUCUCAUUGUUCAGCUCCCACUUAUGAGUGAAAACAUGUGGUGUCUGGUUUUCUGUUCCUGCAUUAGUUUGCUGAGGUUAAUGUCUUCCAGCUUCAUUCAUGUCUCUGCAAAUGAUAUGAUCUCAUUCCUUUUUAUGACUGCAUAGUAUUCCGUGGUGUAUAUGUACAACAUUUUCUUUAUCCAGUCUAUCAUUGAUGGGCAUUUGGGUUGAUUCCAUGUCUUUGCUGUUACUCAAUAAAAUUUUGCAGAGACGAAGCGUAUUCUAUAUCUGAGUCAUCUAAUAUGGUAGCCACUAGCCAAAUAUGGCUUUUUAACUUAGAAUUAGAAUAGAUCAAAUUCCAUGAAGUUUAAAAUUCAGUUCCUCAGCCACAUGGCCACAAUUUGAGUUCUCAGAGCCGCAUGUGGCUGCUGGCUGUGGGAGAGAAUAGCAUGAAUACAAAAUGUUUUCCUUGUCAGAGGAAGUUCUAGCUGUUCUAGAUUAAAGGUGCAAAUUUGAAGAUGCAGAGCCUAUUUUCUCAUGCAGUGCAGGCUCCUGGAAGAGACCUAAUGUAACAAAACGAUAAUAUUUAACAUCAAUGGUGAGAUGUCUUUAUCUUACUAAAUGUGGGGAGCAAGCAGAAUUCUCUCAUGGAGUGUCUUAUCACCUCUUAUCCUCAUGCAAAUUUCUGCCAUAGAGAUUUUCUCCCAAACUUUGAGAAGGUCACCUCUGUCAGGCCUCUGAGCCCAAGCUAAGCCAUCAUAUCCCCUGUGACCUGCGUGUAUACAUCCAGAUGGCCUGAAGCGACUGAAGAUCCACAAAAGAAGUGAAAAUAGCCUUAACUGAUGACAUUCCACCAUGGUGAUUUGUUCCUGCCCCACCCUAACUAAUAGGAUAUAUUCUCCCCCCACCCAAGAAGGUACUUUGUAAUAUUCCUCUCCCCCCCUUACCCCCCACCCCCCUGCCCCCCUCGCCCACCGUAAGAAGGUACUUUGUAAUAUUCUCCCCCCAACUUUAGAAGGUACUUUGUAAUAUUCUCCCCUCCCCUUAAGAAGGUACUUUGAGGACGAGCGCAGUGGCUCACGCCUGUAAUCCCAGAACUUUGGGGGGCCGAGGCGGGCGGAUCAUGAGGUCAGGAGAUCGAGACCAUCCCGGCUAACAUGGUGAAACCCCGUCUCUACUAAAAAAAUACAAAACAAUUAGACGGGCGUGGUGGUGGGCGCCUGUAGUCCCAGCCACUCGGGAGGCUGAGGCAGGAGAAUGGCGUGAACCCAGGAGGCAGAGCUUGCAGUGAGCCGAGAUCACGCCACUGCAUUCCAGCCUGGGUGAUAGAGCAAGACUCCGUCUC
Molecule: small RNA, 4168 nt
Filed under: Pongo abelii (Sumatran orangutan)
Lineage: Eukaryota; Metazoa; Chordata; Mammalia; Primates; Hominidae
Description: processed transcript
Source: RNAcentral